This 500-nucleotide ribosomal RNA is filed under the name uncultured bacterium. RNAcentral's name for it is "partial 16S ribosomal RNA". It matches the Rfam family "Bacterial small subunit ribosomal RNA", at positions 30 to 523 of the family's 1533-position model. The record is from RNAcentral.
AUUGAACGCUGGCGGCAGGCCUAACACAUGCAAGUCGAGCGGUAGAGAGAAGCUUGCUUCUCUUGAGAGCGGCGGACGGGUGAGUAAUGCCUAGGAAUCUGCCUGGUAGUGGGGGAUAACGUUCGGAAACGGACGCUAAUACCGCAUACGUCCUACGGGAGAAAGCAGGGGACCUUCGGGCCUUGCGCUAUCAGAUGAGCCUAGGUGGGAUUAGCUAGUUGGUGAGGUAAUGGCUCACCAAGGCGACGAUCCGUAACUGGUCUGAGAGGAUGAUCAGGCACACUGGAACUGAGACACGGUCCAGACUCCUACGGGAGGCAGCAGUGGGGAAUAUUGGACAAUGGGCGAAAGCCUGAUCCAGCCAUGCCGCGUGUAUGAAGAAGGUCUUCGGAUUGUAAAGCACUUUAAGUUGGGAGGAAGGGUUGUAGAUUAAUACUCUGCAAUUUUGACGUUACCGACAGAAUAAGCACCGGCUAACUCUGUGCCAGCCGCCGCGGUAA